Molecule: ribosomal RNA, 609 nt
Filed under: uncultured soil bacterium
Lineage: Bacteria
Description: bacterial SSU rRNA
Rfam family: Bacterial small subunit ribosomal RNA
Source: RNAcentral
AGUCGAACGGCAGCACGGGAGCAAUCCUGGUGGCGAGUGGCGAACGGGUGAGUAAAUAUAUCGGAACGUGCCCAGUCGUGGGGGAUAACGUAGCGAAAGCUACGCUAAUACCGCAUACGAUCUACGGAUGAAAGCGGGGGAUCGCAAGACCUCGCGCGAUUGGAGCGGCCGAUAUCAGAUUAGGUAGUUGGUGGGGUAAAAGCCCACCAAGCCGACGAUCUGUAGCUGGUCUGAGAGGACGACCAGCCACACUGGGACUGAGACACGGCCCAGACUCCUACGGGAGGCAGCAGUGGGGAAUUUUGGACAAUGGGCGCAAGCCUGAUCCAGCAAUGCCGCGUGCAGGAUGAAGGCCUUCGGGUUGUAAACUGCUUUUGUACGGAACGAAACGGCGAGCUCUAAUACAGUUUGCUAAUGACGGUACCGUAAGAAUAAGCACCGGCUAACUACGUGCCAGCAGCCGCGGUAAUACGUAGGGUGCAAGCGUUAAUCGGAAUUACUGGGCGUAAAGCGUGCGCAGGCGGUUAUGUAAGACAGAUGUGAAAUCCCCGGGCUUAACCUGGGAACUGCAUUUGUGACUGCAUANCUAGAGUACGGUAGAGGGGGAUG